This 1307-nucleotide ribosomal RNA is filed under the name Neoboletus brunneissimus. RNAcentral describes it as "SSU rRNA". It matches the Rfam family "Eukaryotic small subunit ribosomal RNA", at positions 493 to 1823 of the family's 1831-position model. The record is from RNAcentral. Lineage: Eukaryota; Fungi; Basidiomycota; Agaricomycetes; Boletales; Boletaceae.
CUUUUGGGUCUUAUAAUUGGAAUGAGUACAAUCUAAAUCUCUUAACGAGGAACAAUUGGAGGGCAAGUCUGGUGCCAGCAGCUGCAGUAAUUCCAGCUCCAAUAGCAUAUAUUAAAGUUAUUGCAGUUAAAAAGCUCGUAGUUGAACUUUGGGCCUGGAUGGGCAGUCUGCUGCAAGGCGUUGUACUGUCUGGCCAGGCCUUUCCUCUUGGUGAAUCGGCAUGCCCUUCACUGGGUGCGUUGGGAAACCAGGACGUUUACCUUGAGAAAAUUAGAGUAUUCAAAGCAGGUGUUUCGCCCGAAUACAUUAGCAUGGAAUAAUGAAAUAGGAUGUGCGGUUCUAUUUUGUUGGUUUCUAGAGUCGCCGUAAUGAUUAAUAGGGACAGUUGGGGGCAUUAGUAUUCAGUCACUAGAGGUGAAAUUCUUGGAUUGACUGAAGACUAACUACUGUGAAAGCAUUUGCCAAGAAUGUUUUCAUUAAUCAAGAGCAAAGGUUAGGGGAUUGAAAACGAUCAGAUACCAUUGUAGUCUUAACAGUAAACUAUGCCGACUAGGGAUUGGGCGACCUCUUUUUGAUGUGUCGCUUGGCACCUUACAAGAAAUCAAAGUCUUUGGGUUCUGGGGGGAGUAUGGUCGCAAGGCUGAAAUUUAAAGGAAUUGAUGGAAGGGCACCACCAGGAGUGGAGCCUGCAGCUUAAUUUGACUCAACACAGGAAAACUCACCAGGUCCAGACAUGACUAGGAUUGACAGAUUGAUAGCUCUUUCAUGAUUUUAUGGGUGGUGGUGCAUGGCCGUUCUUAGUUGGUGGAGUGAUUUGUCUGGUUAAUUCUGAUAACGAAUGAGACCUUAACCUGCUAAAUAGCCAGGCCAGCUUUUGCUGGUCUCCGGCUUCUUAGAGGGACUGUCAGCAUCUAGCCGACAGAAGUUUGAGGCAAUAACAGGUCUGUGAUGCCCUUAGAUGUUCUGGGCUGCAUGCGCGCUACACUGACAGAGCCAGCAAGUUCUUUUCCUUGGCCAGAAGGUCUGGGUAAUCUUGUGAAACUCUGUCAUGCUGGGGAUAGAGCAUUGCAAUUAUUGCUCUUCAAUGAGGAAUUCCUAGUAAGCGUGAGUCAUCAGCUCGCGUUGAUUAUGUCCCUGCCCUUUGUACACACCACCCGUCGCUACUACCAAUUGAAUGACUUAGUGAGGUCUCCGGAUUGGCUUUGGGGAGCCAGCAAUGGCACCCUGUUGCUGGGAAGCUGAUCAAACUUGGUCAUUUAGAGGAAGUAAAAGUCGUAACAAGGUUUCCAUAGGUGAACCUGCGGAAG